This 421-nucleotide ribosomal RNA is filed under the name uncultured bacterium. RNAcentral describes it as "partial 16S ribosomal RNA". It matches the Rfam family "Bacterial small subunit ribosomal RNA", at positions 360 to 773 of the family's 1533-position model. The record is from RNAcentral.
AAUUUUGGACAAUGGGGGCAACCCUGAUCCAGCCAUCCCGCGUGUGCGAUGAAGGCCUUCGGGUUGUAAAGCACUUUUGGCAGGGAAGAAAAGGCUCUGGCUAAUACCCGGAGCUGCUGACGGUCCCUGCAGAAUAAGCACCGGCUAACUACGUGCCAGCAGCCCCGGUAAUACGUAGGGUCCAAGCGCUAAACGGAAUUACUGGGCGUAAAGCUUGCGCAGGCGGUUCGGCAAGAAGGAUGUGAAAUCCCAGGGCUUAACCUUGGAACUGCAUUCUUAACUGCCGGGCUAGAGUAUGUCAGAGGGGGGUAGAAUUCCGCGUGUAGCAGUGAAAUGCGUAGAGAUGCGGAGGAAGACCGAUGGCGAAGGCGACUACCUGGACUGAUACUGACACUGAGGUGCGAAAGCGUGGGGAGCAAAC